Molecule: RNA transcript, 3899 nt
Organism: Hyla sarda
Lineage: Eukaryota; Metazoa; Chordata; Amphibia; Anura; Hylidae
Gene: PTPN12
Gene name: protein tyrosine phosphatase non-receptor type 12
Exons: 16
Source: RefSeq, a predicted model, not a curated record
GAUUUCAGAGGAGAGCCUGCCUGGCCAAUAGUCGGCGGCUUGAGGCGGGGUCCCGGUGUUGCGUGUUCCGGUGCAUCCUCAGACUGUGUGUCGGUGCUGGGAGGUUCGCGGAGCUCUGGGACGGGACGGCGGCGGCACACUGCAUCCCCCUCCUCCGGCAGAGGCAAAUGAGAAGGAAAGGGUUGUUCCGCAUGGCGAGGGGCUAGCGGCUGUUCCCCAACCUGACGGAGAGCGGGGAGGCUAGUGACUGGCACAGCGGAGGAAGCAGCCAGCAUGGACCAAGUGGAGAUCUUACGGACUUUCAUUGAGAAGGUGCAGUCCAUGAAUAACAAGGACCAGAACGGGGAGGACAACUUCGCGUGUGACUUCAUGAGAUUAAGGCGGCUGUCCACGAAAUACAGAACAGAGAAGAUAUACCCAACAAUCACUGGAGAAAAAGAAGAAAAUGUCAAAAAGAACAGAUAUAAAGACAUUCUGCCAUUUGACCACAGUAGAGUUAAACUUGCACUGAAAAUUCCAUCUUAUGAAUCUGACUACAUCAAUGCAAAUUUUAUUAAGGGUGUUCUCGGUCCCAAAGCAUACAUAGCAACCCAGGGGCCAUUAGCUAACACAGUAAUAGAUUUCUGGAGAAUGAUUUGGGAAUAUCAGGUCAAGAUAAUUGUGAUGGCUUGUCGUGAGUUUGAGAUGGGAAGGAAAAAAUGUGAGCGGUAUUAUCCAAAUUUUGGAGAACAAGCUUUAACUUUUGGACCAUUUCAUAUUUCUUGUGAGGACGAGCAGUCAAGAAAAGAUUUCUUUGUCCGAAUACUUUCAGUGGAGUUCCAGAAUGAAACGCGUAGAAUUCAUCAGUUUCAUUAUGUAAACUGGCCGGAUCAUGAUGUCCCAUCUUCUUUUGACUCUAUUCUUGACAUGAUUAGUUUAAUGCGGGAUUAUCAGGCUCAUGAGGAGGUUCCUUUAUGUAUACACUGCAGUGCAGGAUGUGGAAGAACAGGAGCCAUUUGUGCAAUAGAUUAUACCUGGAAUCUGCUGAAAGCUGGUAGGAUACCUGAAGAGUUUAAUGUAUUCAGCUUAAUUCAAGAAAUGAGGACACAGAGGCAUUCAGCAGUACAAACUAAGGAACAGUAUGAGUUAGUACACCGUGCUAUAGCUCAGCUGUUUUUGAAGCAGCUGGAAGUAUAUGAGAACGAGUCGAGAGAGACUGUGGAUGACAUGGAUGAAAAUUCUGAAAAUGCAGUGAAUUCCUUAGAGAAUGACAAAAUGGAUUCUCCACCACCAAAGCCACCAAGAAUCCGUAGUUGCCUUGUAGAAGGAGAUGUCAAAGAAGAAAUCUUGCAGCCACCAGAGCCUCAUCCUGUGCCACCAAUUCUGACUCCCUCUCCUCCAUCUGCCUACCCAGCUGUGAUGACAGUGUGGCAAGACAGUGACCGUUAUCAUCCAAAGCCUGUGUUGCACGUUGUAUCCUCAGAAAACACGACAGACCUGAAUGAGAACUAUAACAAAUCGAGUGAUGUAAUGGAGAAAGGAGAGCCCACUGUUGAGAAGAAGCUAGAACGUAAGCUAAGCAUAGAAAUAAAGAAAGUACCUCUUCAAGAAUGUCCAAAAAGUUUUGAAACUACUGCAGGCCUCCAAAGGGGACUUGGCUUUAAAAUCAAAUCCGCUUCAUCUUAUGCAGUUGACCAAUUGCCUAAAACUCAAGUGUCUAGUUCUUUGGAGUCACUGUCAUUAAUAUCAUCAUCUAAUCUUGGUGAUGACUCUAGAAGUUCAAGAUCUACUAAAUCUUUAGAAGAUGUGCCACUGGAGAGACGCUUGGAUCCCCCAGCAAGACCAGACCAUCUUCCACUAGAGAGAGGACUUACAGUUUCUGCUACUUCGGGAAAAGAGCAUACGGAGUAUAAAAAUGAGUCUUCCUCUUCUGAUAAACAUUUAGAUGUGUGUCAUUUUGAUAGCAAAACUUUAAUAAAUAGCAGUCUUCUGGCUUCCCAAACAGGGAGUCAUACUGACCUCAACAACACUCCUGCACUUCAGGCACCCUUAUCUUUUACCAAUCCUCUUCACUCUGAUGACUCUGACAUAGAGGAGGGAAAUUCAUAUGGGUCCAUGGAAAAAAACCUGUCUACUGUAUCAACCACAAGUGCCACUGUUUCUGCAGCAUCUGAACACCCAUCAACUAGAAAAGUGUUGCCCAUGUCAAUUGCCAGGCAUGACCCUUCUAUGAAGCGCCCAUGUUCUGAAAAAGGUAAUCUGUCUGAUACUACUCCAGAGACUCUGCAGGGAAUGAGCAUGGGUGCAAAAGAACAAAUUAUGGCUCAACAGAUCAGUGCAGCUGAUGGUUUUAGUGAAAAAUCAGGAACCUCACCAUCACAGUGCACAUGAUGGCUACCAAAUCUCUGAAGAGGAAGAAAUGAUUGCCUUUUCAAUGGACAUUGAUUGAGCCUGCAGAUGGAGGAGAUGAAAUGCUACUCAUAAGUUACAAGAUCGUACCAUAAAAAGUGCUACUACUAGGACAGUAUUCCAUGAUCAUCACAUUUACUCUAUGGCAAGCAGGUAUAUAUAUUUGACAAAAUUGCAGUCAUAAAAUAUUAACAGAAGAUGUAAGAAAUCUCAGCAUGAUAUUAACUUGUUCUUUAUACAGAAUGUAAAUUAUUGGCCCUGAUGUUUUUAGUUGUUUUUUUUUUUUUUUUUAAAUCAUUCUAGCUGGAUAAAAAGACCAGCAUUGCAGGUUAACCAAUAAGAUUGUAAUACAGUUUGUAAAUUGUAAGCUAAAGGUUAUUUUUAUAAUAUACAUUGUUUCAUUGUCAGCUUAUUUUGUCUUGUAUUUAUUUGACUGUAGGUCAUGAAGCAAAAACAGAAUUAUGGUUAUGAACAUUUAUAGCAUUCAAUAUCAUUGACACAGGCACUGACAUACAGACUUAUCGCCAUGAUUUUAGCUAAAAUUGUCCUUAACUUUUCAAGUUCUGUAAGUAAAGUAUGCACCCAGUGUGGGCAGCAAUAGAACAUAAUGCAUAUUUGAUGUGGAAAGCUUCAAUAGUGCCUUGGUCAGCAUCUUCCAAAAAAUGAAUGGGGAUAGAAAGUAUAAGAUGCAAUUCACUUAGCAUUUUGGGCAUAUAUUUCAAAAUAAAUAUGGAGAUACCGAUAAUUGUAUUUGAAACCCCUUCCUCUCCAUUCCCAGUGUAUUAUAAAGAACACAGAGUAGAAAGGAAAAGUGAUCACCGAAUGACCAUACCAGAACGAAAAACCAAAAGGUGGGUAUUAUGGGUGCUGUCAUGGAGACUUCCAGGAAAUACAAUUAUCGGUGAGUAUAAUUCACCAUUUCCCAAGUUGUCUCCAUGACAGCACCCGGAGAUAAUACCAAAGAAUAGUAUUCAGGGUGGGACCACAGCACUCAAGACCUUGCGUCCGAACGCCAUAUCCUGAUUAGAAAGAACAUCUAAUCUAUAAUGCUUGGAAAAACUUAUGUACAUUUUUCCAAGUGGCUACAUGACAAAUCUGCUCCACAGAAGCAGAUGCUCUCUCUGUCCAUAAGGAAGAGACUGCACGGGUAGAAUGAGCCUUUAAUUCAAGAGGGGGAUUUUUUUCCCUUUCCCAAAUAGGCGUCUGAGAUGGCCAAUAGAACUCUUGGAAGCCUUUUUCCCUUUUGUUAGGACCUGCAAAUUGGGGAAAAGGGUUUUGGUCUUUCCUCCAGGGAUGGGAGGAUUCAACAUAUUGUAACACUGCUCUCCUUACAUCUAAACAGUUGAACGAUCUUUCUUGAUCAUUCUUAGGAGCUGAGCAGAAGGAAGGAAUAACAAUAUCCUGGGAUCUAUGAAAUGAUGAUCAUCCCUGACCAUAAAAAAAGGCUGUAAAGUAGAGAGAGCCUGAAUCUCACUGACUCUACGUGCAGAUGUUAUUGCUACCAAACAUAC